UACGUAGGAUGCAAGCGUUGUUCGGAAUUACUGGGCGUAAAGAGUACGUAGGUGGUAAUAUAAGUCUGUUAUUAAAGACCGGAGCUUAACUCCGGGAAUGUAAUGGAAACUGUAUAGCUAGAGGACAGUAGAGGAAGUCGGAAUUCUCAGUGUAGCGGUGAAAUGCGUAGAUAUUGGGAAGAACACCGGUGGCGAAAGCGGACUUCUGGGCUGUUACUGACGCUGAGGUACGAAAGCGUGGGGAGCAAACAGG
This 253-nucleotide ribosomal RNA is filed under the name uncultured bacterium. Its description in RNAcentral is "partial 16S ribosomal RNA". It matches the Rfam family "Bacterial small subunit ribosomal RNA", at positions 524 to 776 of the family's 1533-position model. The record is from RNAcentral.